This 84-nucleotide transfer RNA is filed under the name bacterium HR33. It matches the Rfam family "tRNA". From Rfam's summary of the family: Transfer RNA (tRNA) molecules are approximately 80 nucleotides in length. Their secondary structure includes four short double-helical elements and three loops (D, anti-codon, and T loops). Further hydrogen bonds mediate the characteristic L-shaped molecular structure. tRNAs have two regions of fundamental functional importance: the anti-codon, which is responsible for specific mRNA codon recognition, and the 3' end, to which the tRNAs corresponding amino acid is attached (by aminoacyl-tRNA synthetases). tRNAs cope with the degeneracy of the genetic code in two manners: having more than one tRNA (with a specific anti-codon) for a particular amino acid; and 'wobble' base-pairing, i.e. permitting non-standard base-pairing at the 3rd anti-codon position. The record is from Rfam by way of RNAcentral. RNAcentral also lists the same sequence under 1 other name.
GCCCGGGUGGCGGAACCGGUAGACGCAAGGGACUUAAAAUCCCUUGGGGGAAACCCCGUGCGGGUUCGAAUCCCGCCCCGGGCA